UGCCCAGUACUUUUUUAACAUUUGGAUAUUUUAAAUAAUAUGGAGGUAUGAACUUCCCCCUUAAAUCUUUAACUUUAUAAUUGGUACAUAUACAUAUAUAGUGGUACACAUCCCCAAGACCAGCUUUACAAAGUGGACAAAUUCUCUCAUUUCGUGGUACAUUUCUCCAUCUUCCUGUUUCAAUGGGAAACUUUGUAUUACAUACCCUUAAUUUACAUAUAUUUACUCUAUGACCCCGCCUUAAUUUUAACAGAUAUGGUUCUAAGCAAAACUCUUCUUCAAAGUGUAAAUAAAAUUCCCCCCUUGAUGAGUUAUUUAUAUCAGAGAACCAUUUUUGAAUAAACUGGUCCUGGAGACGCUGCCUCACAUUAGUUUUAAUAUAAUUAUAAUCAACUUGCUCCGGAAUAUUAUAUAUUUCACAAAAGCCACAGUCAUUAAACACAGAUUUUACAUAGUUAAACCAUUUGAAAUUAUAACCUUCAUGCUCAUGCAUGUACCAAAGUAACUUGUACAGUUUACCCGAUAAUUUUUUAUCGUUUGUUGCAAGCUUGUGCCAAAAACAUACCAUUUUUAACUUGAUCUGCAGUUCAAGUGGAAAUCUUCCAAGUUCUCCAUACACCAUAAAAUUUGGCGUAGAGGAUCGCACCCCCAAAAUGCGCUUACAAAACUGUAAAUGUAAUUUUUCAAUAUUAUUUUUAUUUUCAAACCCCCAUAUUUCCGAGGAAUAGGUCAAAAUAGGAACCACCAAUGCAUCAAAUAAUUUUAACUGUAAAUCAAUCGGGAGUGAGAUAUUUUGUAUCUUCUUGUAAAGAGCAUAAAGUGCUUUUUGAGCUUGGUCUACCAGUUUUUUUCGAGCUUGAAAGAAAUUUCCGUUGUAAUUAAACAGCAGACCAAGAUAAACAUAUGAAUCUUUAAUUUCAAUAAUUUCAUUACAUAGUUUAAAAGUAACAUUCUUAUUAAACUUUCUCUUUGAAAAAAUUACAAUCUUAGUUUUUGAUACAUUCACAGUGAGUUUCCACUCAAAACAAUAUUGCUCAAAAACAUUCAGAGCCUUUUGCAACCCUUCUGCCGACUCCGCAAAAAUAAUAGUGUCGUCGGCGUACAGAAGAAUAAAUAACUUGAUAUACAAAUCAAGAUUCUCUGUAAAUUUUUCGUUCAUAAAUGUUAGACCUUCCACAGAGUUUUCAUCCAGAUAUUCUUCCAAGUCAUUCAGGUAUAAGGCAAAGAGAAAAGGUGACAUUUUUUCUCCCUGUCUUACACCUACCUCACACGGGAAAAAAUCUGUUUUUAGUUCUCCAUUUUUAACACAAGACUUAAUAUCCGUAUACAUGCUCAAUAUAACUUUAAACAUUUUCCCACCAAUGUUAUAUUUUAAUAAUUUUUGCCAUAGUCCCACCCUCCACACUGUAUCAAAAGCUUUUUUUAAAUCUACAAAAGCGCAAAAUAAUUUCUUUCCCGAACUCAAAUAUAGUGAAAUUAAAGCAUGCAUGAUAAACAUACUAUCUUGGACAGAAUACCCCUUACGAAAACCACCCUGGGCAUCAGUUAUAAUCCCGAUCUCGUCUGACAGAGCAUUAAGUCUUGAAUUAAGUAUAGAGGUGAACACUUUUCCUAAAUUCGAUGUAAGACAAAUAGCUCGGUAAUUAUCCAAAUUAUUUGGAUCCCCCUUGUUUUUAAAUAACGGCUUAAUGAUACCAAUAAGCCAUGAUUCGGGAACGAUUCCAGAAUCAAACACUAAAUUGAAUAACUUAGUGUAAAUAGGCAAAAAUUGAUUCACCGUGCUUUUUAUAUAUUCGUUGACAAUCCCAUCUUCCCCUGGGGCUUUGCCAUUACAUAAUUUUUUAACAGCUGACAAUAUUUCGUCCUCUGUAAUUUCCUGAUCUAUAAUUUCAAUAACCCCCUGACUUUUUAUACUAUUAACUAAAUCCUCAAAAUCAAUAUCAUCAUCUGGAACAUCGCUCUUAUUUAAUGACUUAAAAUACUCAUAUAAUUGAUCAAUAGUAAUUUGGAUAUCUUUAUCAGACCCCCCUCUAUCCAAUCUUUUCAAGAUUUUCCAAAAUUUACCAGAAUCUUUUUUCGAAAGUUUACGCAUGUCAGAUUCUAGUGCAUGUUGAAAACUCUCAAAACU
Molecule: long non-coding RNA, 2128 nt
Filed under: Mytilus galloprovincialis (Mediterranean mussel)
Lineage: Eukaryota; Metazoa; Mollusca; Bivalvia; Mytilida; Mytilidae
Source: RNAcentral